GAUGAACGCUGGCGGCGUGCCUAAUACAUGCAAGUCGAGCGAACAGACGAGGAGCUUACUCCUCUGACGUUAGCGGCGGACGGGUGAGUAACACGUGGAUAACCUACCUAUAAGACUGGGAUAACUUCGGGAAACCGGAGCUAAUACCGGAUAACAUGUUGAACCGCAUGGUUCAACAGUGAAAGACGGUCUUGCUGUCACUUAUAGAUGGAUCCGCGUCGCAUUAGCUAGUUGGUAAGGUAACGGCUUACCAAGGCAACGAUGCGUAGCCGACCUGAGAGGGUGGUCGGCCACACUGGAACUGAGACACGGUCCAGACUCCUACGGGAGGCAGCAGUAGGGAAUCUUCCGCAAUGGGCGAAAGCCUGACGGAGCAACGCCGCGUGAGUGAAGAAGGUCUUCGGAUCGUAAAACUCUGUUAUUAGGGAAGAACAAAUGUGUAAGUAACUAUGCACGUCUUGACGGUACCUAAUCAGAAAGCCACGGCUAACUACGUG
RNAcentral lists this ribosomal RNA (497 nucleotides) under uncultured bacterium. RNAcentral describes it as "partial 16S ribosomal RNA". It matches the Rfam family "Bacterial small subunit ribosomal RNA", at positions 28 to 507 of the family's 1533-position model. The record is from RNAcentral.